GUUUUAUCUUUCUCCAAAUUCAAAUCAAAGUCUUCCUUUAUCUCUUUCUGGUAUUCUGUAAUCGAUCCCACCAUAUAGCUGCUGCAGAUUUCAAAUUGAACGUCACCAUCUUAGCCAUCUUGUCCUCUUAAAAAUUAUUAAUUUUGAAGAAUCUUUCAGCCUCUUCCAACCAGUCCAAAAACUCUUCGAUCUUCAUGUUACCAAAGAACGAGGGAAUGUCUACUUUCAUCUAAUAAUCAUCAAAGAUAUUUUGAUUUUGAUGUUUAGGGUUAUGUGACGGUGCUUCAAACUCCUCAUCUGACUUCAACUCGAUAUUUUCUACUACAUGUCUCCUAUUAUUUCCUCCCCAAUCUAUAGGCUCAAUGAUCCGUUCAUUGUUGAUUGCAUGUUGUUCAUUCUGCCAUUAUUUCCAACACCCUGCUACAAUAGUUGAUGAAUCUCUUUGAUCUUAGUAAGAUCGCUAAUUCAUUAAUUUUGAGUGUCUAGAUUUACUCUGGUAAUUAGUAAUUAGUAUGUCAUCCAUGGUUAUAAACAAAGAUAUAAAGAUGGGAAAGCCAGCUCUAUACCACUUUAUCAAUAUUUGAAAAUAUAUAAGGUUUUCCAUUCAUAGAUCUAUGGAUAGCAAUCUAGUUAUAUUGACGAGCAUUUUCAAACUUUCACGUCACUAUAUGAAAUAACAAUGUAUAAUUCAAAUUAAAACCUGACAAUUAAAUUAAUGCAAAUCCACCACGCAAUUCCUCAACUUCUAUUCUUGUGUCUAUAUUUCUCUAACUUUUUCUCUCUUUAAUUAUUUAUCAACAAAUCACUGUACAUGAUCAAAUCCAUUAAAUGACUAUACUUUCUUAAAAUUACUACCUUAUACAUAUACAACCCCUAUACAUGAUUUAAUCCAAUAUCUAGAAUUCAAUAUUUAUCCUUUAGUUUCAUUCAAACUUGUAAAAUCUGAGAAAACAAAGGUUUGACAAGAACGACAUUAACAUCUCGGGAAUAGCACUUUUUGAGAUUAAUUUCAAAAAUAGCACCUGUACUUAGAAUUACUUUAAAAACGGAGAAAUCAAAACUCAAAUCCUUAAUUUAAGUGUUUGACAUCACACACAUGACAAUCAAAAAAAUACAUCUUUAUCUCGCAAACCCAUUCAAAAUUUCACUUUCUUCCACACGAAUUUUCAAAUACACAUUUCUUUGCUAUAUUCUUAAUUACAACCUCAAAUACAUAUCAAUAACACCUAAUUCCUGCUAAACUUUGAUUUAAAGCAAUAUUUUCAUAAACCCUAAAAAAAUUUCAAAGUAACAUACAUUUUAUUUACCUCUUGAAAAUAAGAAGAAUUAGGAAUGAUAACCCUGAGCUUAAAAACCGACAACUAUUCCUUCAUUUUUUUUAUUUUUUUAUUUUUUGCUUUUCUCUUUCCCUUUUUCUCCCUCUCUGCUUCAUUUUCUUUUCUUUCU
This 1446-nucleotide long non-coding RNA is filed under the name Olea europaea subsp. europaea. The record is from RNAcentral. Lineage: Eukaryota; Viridiplantae; Streptophyta; Magnoliopsida; Lamiales; Oleaceae.